This 332-nucleotide unclassified non-coding RNA is filed under the name uncultured fungus. RNAcentral's name for it is "partial contains 5.8S ribosomal RNA and internal transcribed spacer 2". The stretch from base 1 to 133 matches the Rfam family "5.8S ribosomal RNA", at positions 22 to 154 of the family's 154-position model. Lineage: Eukaryota; Fungi. The record is from RNAcentral.
UGGUUCUGGCAUCGAUGAAGAACGCAGCGAAAUGCGAUAAGUAAUGUGAAUUGCAGAAUUCAGUGAAUCAUCGAAUCUUUGAACGCACAUUGCGCCCGCCAGUAUUCUGGCGGGCAUGCCUGUUCGAGCGUCAUUUCAACCCUCAAGCCCAGCUUGGUGUUGGGGAUCGGCAAGGCGUCCUCCGGGUCGCGCCGUCCCCCAAAUAUAGUGGCGGUCUCGCUGUAGCUUCCUCUGCGUAGUAAUACACCUCGCUCUGGAGUCUCGGUGCGGCCACGCCGUAAAACCCCCAACUUUUUCUGGUUGACCUCGAAUCAGGUAGGACUACCCGCUGA